CAGACAAAGUUUUAACCUGACUAUAAUUCAAGUUGCUUCCUUUUAGGAACGCGAUCUUGCAAACCUUUCCUUUCUUGAACCGUUGCAAAUAUCAUGAAAAUCGAAAUUAUAAAACCGAAACCGUAUUCAGUAUUUGUUACCGUUUGGAGGCCUUUCCACUCUCGUUCUUUCCGCGGCGUUGUGGUGUCGAUCCGAGCGUCUUCUCCAAAGCUUUUGAGGAACCCUAGGAUUGUUUAUUGGUUUUCUUCGAUCUUUUUUACUGGUUCUUGAACGGUUUUUGUUCUUCUUUACGUGCUGCUGCAAUUGGGAGAAGGUGGUACCGAUGACGGAAGUGAAGCGGGAGAAUGAAAAGGGCAAGCAGGUUCAUGAAGCUACCCUGGAUUUGUGCCCUCCGGCUUUGGAUAUCGGGUCUAAAUUGAAACUUAUGACUGUUUCUGGGAGAACAAGUGGUCCAGUCAGAAGAUCAACAAAGGGAGGCUGGACAGAUGAGGAGGAUGAUAUGUUGACCAAAGCUGUAAGACAAUUCAAUGGGAAAAACUGGAAGAAA
Molecule: non-coding RNA, 547 nt
Organism: Phoenix dactylifera (date palm)
Lineage: Eukaryota; Viridiplantae; Streptophyta; Magnoliopsida; Arecales; Arecaceae
Source: RefSeq, a predicted model, not a curated record